AAGUCGUAACAAGGUUUCCGUAGGUGAACCUGCGGAAGGAUCAUUAACACGUAUCCAACGUUAAACCCCCCCGUGAAUAUUAAUCGUGCUCUUGCAUCCUCCCAAUCAGCAAUCUCUGGUAAAUCACGUCGAACGGUUUGAUUCAGAGACCUCUGCGUUGUGGAUGACUGCUGACGCUAAAGGUGCAAUCGAGCGCUAGGAUCAGUGGUUUGGUUUCCCCUCAAACCACUUCAAUGACAGCGUCAUUGAAGUGUGAUGGGGAGGUCGCUUAACGCACGUUGUAGGCUCACACGAGCCGGCGUCCAAAUCACCGGGCAGGCCCUUCUGUCGUGGUUGGGCGUAAAAAUGAACAACUGUUAACAAUGGAUAUCUUGGUUCUC
Molecule: unclassified non-coding RNA, 380 nt
Filed under: fungal sp.
Lineage: Eukaryota; Fungi
Description: partial internal transcribed spacer region
Rfam family: Eukaryotic small subunit ribosomal RNA (bases 1-46)
Source: RNAcentral